GAUGAACGCUGGCGGCGUGCCUAAUACAUGCAAGUCGAGCGAACAGACGAGGAGCUUGCUCCUCUGACGUUAGCGGCGGAGGGGUGAGUAACACGUGGAUAACCUACCUAUAAGACUGGGAUAACUUCGGGAAACCGGAGCUAAUACCGGAUAAUAUAUUGAACCGCAUGGGUCAAUAGUGAAAGACGGUUUUGCUGUCACUUAUAGGUGGAUCCGCGCCGCAUUAGCUAGUUGGUAAGGUAACGGCUUACCAAGGCAACGAUGCGUAGCCGACCUGAGAGGGGGAUCGGCCACAUUGGAACGUAGCCACGGUCCCGACUCCUACGAUAGGCACCAGUAGGGAAUCUUCCGCAAUGGGCGAAAGCCUGACGGAGCAACGCCGCGCGAGUGAUGAAGGUCUUCGGAUCGUAAAACUCUGUUAUUAGUGAAGAACAAAUUUCUAAUUAACUAUGCACGUCUUGACGGUACCUAAUCAGAAAGCCACGGCUAACUACGUG
RNAcentral lists this ribosomal RNA (497 nucleotides) under uncultured bacterium. RNAcentral describes it as "partial 16S ribosomal RNA". It matches the Rfam family "Bacterial small subunit ribosomal RNA", at positions 28 to 507 of the family's 1533-position model. The record is from RNAcentral.